ACAUUUUUAAAAAUAGUUUUAAAAUAUAAAAUUAAAAAUAUAUUCUACCAAAUAUUUCCUCUUUUCAAAAUAUCCUUUAAAACAUCCUUUUUGAGUGCAUAUACUCUUCCUGCCUUUCCCAUAAUUUAUCCCUUGCCGCCACGCCCCCUUGAAAUUCGCCCAAAAACGACAGCUAAUUGCUGUGACGCCGGCAGCGCAGUGGCAGAAGUGCAUUCCGCUUACUUGUGUGCGUGCAUUAAAAAAAGCGCCACAAAAAAUAUGGUGAAUAAAUAGUUCCACGUGUAUUAGUGUGCAUUGUUCUAGGCUUGCAACUGUAUUAGUCACUUUGAGUGACUUUAAUGAGAGAGUGGUUUUUUAGGAAUAGUGAGCUGCAUUGGGAGGACUCAAAUUUUUGGCAGCUCGUCGCGCAGCUUGGCAAUUUUUUUAUCAACGCGCGCUGCACUCGAAAUGCAAUGCCAUAAUUGCAGUGCACUUCGGCUCUCUCUCUCUCUCUUGACUCUCCCUCUCUUUAUGCGUGUGUGUGUGAGUGCGGCUUACCCCGUUACUCCUAAAGUUCUCGCGUCUGCGCUCUGUGUAAAUAACUCAAAGAGAGAGGACACUCAUUCUAGUUUUUUGCAAUAUGCAGUUCUGCCAUGUAACUGUGUAUGUGUGUGAGUUAAAUUUUUUUUGUUGGUUUUUUGCACGACGGAGACGACGACGUCGACGUCAGUAGUCGGCACUGUGCUGGUGUCUUCGUGUUGUUGUGAUAUAAUUUUGCAGUCGGCUUCGGCAGUCGCAUAAACACAACGCAUCCGAUAUGCAACGGAACGCAUUUUCGGACGCGGCCCGAGUCGUUCCGAGGUGUAGCGUCCGAUUCCGAUUUCGAUUCCGAUUCCGACGAUCGCGUAUAUCAAUCGUAAAGCAUUAAGCGCAUUGCCCAUUUACACGCAGUCCAUAGGCGAAAAUCGUUUGCCAUUGAUAAUAAAACAUACGACAUUCUUUCGGCCAAAAAAUAUUAAUAUCCAAAUAUAUAUCUACUAUAUAUGAGAUAUUGGCAAACCAAAAUACAAAAUAUUUAAACAAAAACAACAAAUACAACAACAAUAACAACAACAACAACAACAACAACGGCAACACUUUUGUUAGUAAAUUUCUGUUGAAUUAAAAUACGAAAAAAAA
Long non-coding RNA from Drosophila eugracilis, 1158 nucleotides. RefSeq lists it as uncharacterized. The record is from RefSeq and is a predicted model, not a curated record. The transcript has 2 exons. Lineage: Eukaryota; Metazoa; Arthropoda; Insecta; Diptera; Drosophilidae.